This 429-nucleotide ribosomal RNA is filed under the name bacterium. RNAcentral's name for it is "partial 16S ribosomal RNA". It matches the Rfam family "Bacterial small subunit ribosomal RNA", at positions 355 to 776 of the family's 1533-position model. The record is from RNAcentral.
UAGGGAAUCUUCGGCAAUGGGGGCAACCCUGACCGAGCAACGCCGCGUGAGUGAAGAAGGUUUUCGGAUCGUAAAGCUCUGUUGUAAGAGAAGAACGUGUGUGAGAGUGGAAAGUUCACACAGUGACGGUAACUUACCAGAAAGGGACGGCUAACUACGUGCCAGCAGCCGCGGUAAUACGUAGGUCCCGAGCGUUGUCCGGAUUUAUUGGGCGUAAAGCGAGCGCAGGCGGUUUAAUAAGUCUGAAGUUAAAGGCAGUGGCUUAACCAUUGUUCGCUUUGGAAACUGUUAAGCUUGAGUGCAGAAGGGGAGAGUGGAAUUCCAUGUGUAGCGGUGAAAUGCGUAGAUAUAUGGAGGAACACCGGUGGCGAAAGCGGCUCUCUGGUCUGUAACUGACGCUGAGGCUCGAAAGCGUGGGGAGCAAACAGG